This is a long non-coding RNA of Sinocyclocheilus rhinocerous, 127 nucleotides long. RefSeq lists it as uncharacterized. NCBI's taxonomy places the organism in Eukaryota, Metazoa, Chordata, Actinopteri, Cypriniformes, Cyprinidae. The transcript is spliced from 4 exons. The record is from RefSeq and is a predicted model, not a curated record.
UGUUUUCAUCGCAGAGCAUCAUUCACCCCACAAUGACUAGCCAUGGUACUAAAAGAAAGCGUAGUGAUGAACCAUCCGGCUCAAGUGCAAAGCGCCCUGACAACAGUUCACAGGAACUUAGAACAGG